RNAcentral lists this ribosomal RNA (386 nucleotides) under uncultured bacterium. Its description in RNAcentral is "bacterial SSU rRNA". It matches the Rfam family "Bacterial small subunit ribosomal RNA", at positions 28 to 414 of the family's 1533-position model. The record is from RNAcentral.
GACGAACGCUGGCGGCGUGCUUAACACAUGCAAGUCGAGCGGUAAGGCCCUUUCGGGGGUACACGAGCGGCGAACGGGUGAGUAACACGUGGGUGACCUGCCCUCAGCUCUGGGAUAAGCCUGGGAAACCGGGUCUAAUACUGGAUAUGACUCCAUGACGCAUGUUGUGGGGUGGAAAGCCUUGUGCGGCUAAGGAUGGGCCCGCGGCCUAUCAGCUUGUUGGUGGGGUGAUGGCCUACCAAGGCGACGACGGUAGCCGGCCUGAGAGGGCGACCGGCCACACUGGGACUGAGGACACGGCCCAGACUCCCUACGGGAGGCAGCAGUGGGGAAUCUUGCGCAAUGGGCGAAAGCCUGACGCAGCGACGCCGCGUGAGGGAUGACGG